This 1266-nucleotide long non-coding RNA is filed under the name Malus domestica (apple). RNAcentral's name for it is "long non-coding RNA (MDOM_LNC015512)". The record is from RNAcentral. Lineage: Eukaryota; Viridiplantae; Streptophyta; Magnoliopsida; Rosales; Rosaceae.
AGAGAUCCAUCCAUCAUGGAUCUUAGCAAGCUAGUGGGAGCUAUAAACGUCUUAUGAGAGAAAGAUCAAAUUGUUUGAUUUCUCAUAAAGAUGUGAAUGAAUCUUUUGUUUACUAGGUUUACAAAAGAUUAGUGGGAGUUAAUCAAAUUCCUAAAUUUGAAUAUAUAUAUGAUAUAUUAAUUUUGGAAAUGAAAAGAAUACUUCUUCGUUAAAGUUAUGACUUUAAACAUUCUAUAACGAUAGAAUGUAUAUGGGAGACAUAGUCUAUAUACAUGGGAUGGAAAUCUACAAUAAUAGAUUUCAAGAUAUAAUUGGAUUAUAUCAAUCCCUAAUGAUAGACAAAAGAUGCUAGGAAGUUUCUCAUAUGAUGAUAAACUUCAAUCAGAAGAACAACUCUAGUAAGACUAGGAGGUAGCUCUUCUCAAACGUACCCUUUUGACUCCUAAAGAAACAUAAUGCAUAAAUAGAAUCCUUUAUGCAUACGCAGAAAGGUGAUUUACGUAUUUCAUAUUGUAUGAAAAACAUUGAUAUGAAUUGUACCUAGAUCGGUACAAGACAAUAUCAAUGCAAGCCCAGGAUCAGAACCAUGGCAACUGUCAAGUGAGUCCUUAAGUAUUUAAGAAAUACUAAAGGAUAGAUUCCUCAAAGAAUGAGGAAGAAUUAGAGUAACGUAAAGGAAGCGUAAAUGUAUUAGAUUAUGAAUGAAGAGAUAAUCAGAUAUCUCUUUAUUAUGACUAAAGAGAUAUUUGGAUGGAAACAUUAAAAGUAAUGACUUUAGUGUGUUCCAUUAUGAAUGCAAAAUAUAUUGCCAUAUAGAAGCUUACAACAAUGUUGUUUGGAUGGGAAAGUUCAUUUAUGAACUCUCUAUUCGGUUCCAACCAGAAAGUGUCUCUAGUGUACCGACACUACGACACUAAUGAGGCGAUAGCUCAAGCCAGGGAAUCAAGGUCUCAUCAAGAUCCGAACUCAAUUGAAAGAUUGAACACAUGAUUAAGAAUCAUGUAUAAUGGUGACGUCGUGAUUCUCAAGGUUGCUUCUAUGGAUAACAUAUAGAUAUCCAUUGUCUAGGCCUACUACUCAGCCAUUUUUGAAAUGACUACAGAAGAGGUAUCAUCACUGAUGACCAAGCUGAUUGGCUCUAGUACAAGUGGGAGAUUGUUGGAAAUGUGCCCUAAAACCAAUCAUAUGAUGAUACUUUACGGACAUUUCUCAUGUUAAACUAAUCUAGUUUAAUAUCAAGGGCAUAGAUUAUUGUUUUAAGCCGUC